CAGUAGCCGCGGUAAUACGAAGGGGGCUAGCGUUGUUCGGAAUUACUGGGCGUAAAGCGCACGUAGGCGGAUAUUUAAGCCAGGGGUGAAAUCCCAGAGCUCAACUCUGGAACUGCCUUUGAUACUGGGUAUCUUGAGUAUGGAAGAGGUGAGUGGAAUUCCGAGUGUAGAGGUGAAAUUCGUAGAUAUUCGAAGGAACACCAGUGGCGAAGGCGGCUCACUGGUCCAUUACUGACGCUGAGGUGCGAAAGCGUGGGGAGCAAACAGGAUUAGAUACCCCUGUAGUCCCUGUCUCUUAUAC
Molecule: ribosomal RNA, 301 nt
Filed under: uncultured bacterium
Lineage: Bacteria
Description: partial 16S ribosomal RNA
Rfam family: Bacterial small subunit ribosomal RNA
Source: RNAcentral